UUUGAGUCAGGAGCCGUCACAGGUGCUGCAUGGCUGUCGUCAGCUCGUGCCGUGAGGUGUAUGGUUAAGUCCUGCAACGAGCGCAACCCUCGUCGCUAGUUGAUUUCUCUAGCGAGACUGCCCCGCAAAACGGGAGGAAGGUGGGGAUGACGUCAAGUCAGCAUGGCCUUUAUAUCUUGGGCUACACACACGCUACAAUGGAUGGCACAAUAGGUUGCAACAGCGCGAGCUGAAGCUAAUCCCCAAAGCCAUCCUCAGUACAGAUUGCAGGCUGAAACCCGCCUGCAUGAAGUCGGAGUUGCUAGUAACCGCAAAUCAGCAUGUUGCGGUGAAUACGUUCUCGGGCCUU
Molecule: ribosomal RNA, 349 nt
Filed under: uncultured Chloroflexota bacterium
Lineage: Bacteria; Bacillati; Chloroflexota
Description: bacterial SSU rRNA
Rfam family: Bacterial small subunit ribosomal RNA
Source: RNAcentral